UAUCCUUAUUUGCCAGCGCGUUAUGGCGGGAACUCUAAGGAGACUGCCGGUGAUAAACCGGAGGAAGGUGGGGACGACGUCAAGUCAUCAUGGCCCUUACGGGAUGGGCUACACGCGUGCUACAAUGGCAGGUACAAUGGCCUCAGAGGCCGCGAGGUGGAGCGAAUCCCACAGAGCUUGUCGUAGUCCGGAUUGGAGUCUGCAACUCGACUCCAUGAAGUCGGAAUCGCUAGUAAUCGUAGAUCAGAAUGCUACGGUGAAUACGUUC
Molecule: ribosomal RNA, 268 nt
Filed under: unidentified gamma proteobacterium groupDD
Lineage: Bacteria; Pseudomonadati; Pseudomonadota; Gammaproteobacteria
Description: partial 16S small subunit ribosomal RNA
Rfam family: Bacterial small subunit ribosomal RNA
Source: RNAcentral